Eufriesea mexicana is the source of this 522-nucleotide long non-coding RNA. RefSeq lists it as uncharacterized. The transcript is spliced from 3 exons. NCBI's taxonomy places the organism in Eukaryota, Metazoa, Arthropoda, Insecta, Hymenoptera, Apidae. The record is from RefSeq and is a predicted model, not a curated record.
CCGCUUUCACAAUCGCUAACACCGAUGUGGCUUAAACCAAGAUUCAGAGUUUCCCUUGGAUAAAAAUAGACUAUACGAAUGGACACUGACCUUGCUAUUGCGCAAUCGAGCGAAUCGACGCAAGGAUGCGAAAUAUUAUUAGAGAAGCAAGCAUUCCUCCGCCGAUAUCAUUGUUGUGGACACAGCGAACUAAGCGACUUGGCGACAACUGAUUUUAUAAAGAAUGGUACAAAGACGGAGAUAUAAAAGAGAAAAGGAACAGAAACAUUCGAAGAGCCACUUAACCUCUCAAAGAUGGAAAGUUGAUUGAAAGCAUUUGUGUUUUCGGAUAAAGAAUGAUAUCUUAAAGUGGGAAAACACAUUGCACCUCUCGUGGCAAAGAAAAACAAGAAGUAAAUGUACACUUAAGUGAUCGCAAAAUACCAGCUGGGGAUGGUGAUUUAUUUAUGUUUCCAAGAAGAUCUCCAUGUUAUUCGUUACAGUUAUGAGAGGAUUUCACGAAUAUACGUAGAUACUUCCAGC